Molecule: RNA transcript, 1670 nt
Organism: Peromyscus maniculatus bairdii (prairie deer mouse)
Lineage: Eukaryota; Metazoa; Chordata; Mammalia; Rodentia; Cricetidae
Gene: Cblc
Gene name: Cbl proto-oncogene C
Source: RefSeq, a predicted model, not a curated record
GCCUCACCCCUCGGCCCCAGGCCAGCCUUGGCUGGGAUGGCAGCCCCGCGAGACCCUUGGCUGGGGUGGCAUUGGGGAGAGGCGCGCGCGCUCGGCCGGGCGGUGAAGUUGCUACAGCGUCUGGAGGAGCAAUGCCGGGACCCCAGGCUGGUUAUGGGGCCCCCGUCGCUGCGGAACCUGCUGCCCCGCACCGCUCAGCUACUUCGGGAGGUGGCAAGAGCCCGGCGCGAGGCCGGGGGAGACUCCGAGGGUCCCGGUGGCGCUGGGGACUUUCUGGCCAUCUACCUGGCCAAUCUGGAAGUCAAAGGCAGGAAGGUGGCCGAGCUGCUGCCAUCCCGAGGCAAAAAGGAUGCGAACGAGGAGGUUUUCCGGGAGGGCUCCAGAUUCAGGCGGCAGCUGGCCAAGCUGGCCCUCAUCUUCAGUCACAUGCACGCCGAGCUGAGCGCACUCUUCCCUGGAGGAAAGUACUGUGGACACCUGUACCAGCUCACCAAGGGCUCGGCCCACACCUUCUGGAGGGAGCGCUGUGGGGUCCGGUGCGUGCUUCCCUGGGCAGAGUUCCAGUGCCUCCUGUGUAGCUGCCACCCUGUGGAACCAGGUCCCAUCAUGCAGGCCUUGCGUUCCACCUUGGACCUCACCUGUAGCGGCCACGUGUCUGUCUUUGAGUUUGACAUCUUCACCAGGCUCUUCCAGCCGUGGCCCACCCUGCUCAGGAACUGGCAACUCCUGGCUGUCAACCACCCUGGCUACAUGGCCUUCUUGACCUACGAUGAGGUCCAAACGCGCCUGCAGGCCUGCAGGGACAAACCGGGCAGCUACAUCUUCAGGCCCAGCUGCACCCGCCUGGGGCAGUGGGCUAUUGGGUACGUGAGUUCCGAUGGAAGCAUCCUACAGACCAUUCCUCUCAACAAACCCCUGUUCCAGGUGCUCCUGAAAGGACAAAAGGACGGCAUCUACCUCUACCCUGAUGGAAAGAGCCACAACCCAGACCUGACUGAGCUGUGCCAGACAGAACCCCACCAGCGCAUUGAAGUGUCCGAGGAGCAACUGCAGCUCUACCAGGCCAUGAACUCCACCUUCGAGCUGUGCAAGAUCUGCACCGAGAGGAACAAGGACGUGAGGAUUGAGCCUUGUGGGCACCUUCUCUGCAGCCACUGCCUGGCUGCCUGGCAGCACUCGGACAGCCAGACCUGUCCCUUCUGCCGCAGUCAGAUCAAAGGCCACGAGGCUGUGAGUAUCUGGCAGGCUCAAGAGAGGUCAGUGGAGGUCGGGACCACUGCAGAGGACUCCAGAGACAGCUCUCACCGGGAGGCUGCGCAGUGGGAGCUGGAGCCGGUGACUCCCUCUGCUCCCCGACUGCCCCCUGAAGACCCAUCCCCCAGGAGACCCCAAGACAAAGGCCGGCUGACAGUGGCAACCCUCACCCUGCCCAGGCUCCGAGCUCCACUUCCUUUACCAAAAAUGGCCUCGGUCCUGUGGGAAGUCACCGCCAGGCCCCAGGCCAGGGAAGGGGCCACAGAGAGCUCCUGAAGGGAUGUACCCUCCAGCCGGCCCUAGGCAGACCCGGUUAUGUCCAAGAUCCAGAGGCCAGGGCACCUGGACUGGAGGAAGGGAACCCUGGGGCUCGAAGAGAUGAUGAAAGUGAAAUAAACUGAAUCCUGGCCUUUCGA